Molecule: long non-coding RNA, 3244 nt
Filed under: Homo sapiens (human)
Lineage: Eukaryota; Metazoa; Chordata; Mammalia; Primates; Hominidae
Description: long non-coding RNA NONHSAT181149.1
Source: RNAcentral
GUCAAUAACCUAGGGCUUCACCAUGCCAAAUCCAAAAUGUUCUGUUGUUGAUCUCUGGUAUCAACAGCUCAGAAACUGCAGAACAGACCCCUGACAGUUACCAACACUUUCCUCCAAACAGCAUUCUGUUUACUGUUUCAUGUAUUCUCAGGCACAUGCACACGAAGACGGAUCAAGCCGCUACCCCAAACCGGCAGCAAAUGACUAUUCUUUUGUUACUGACCAUCAGGAGUUCAACUUUGCUCCACUUUGGGAAGUGGAACAAAUGCUCUGGUGAAGACAGGGAGCACAGGACAUAUUUACCUGGAGGGGAUAUCAAAGAGCAGCCUCAAGACUUGCAAAACAAAGUCGUCCCAAUGAAUUAUCUGUGCCUACAGCCGCACUUGGCACCUUCGGCUAAGCCAGCGUCUGACAAGCAGUUGUUCCCACGGCAGCCACCCCUGCCUUCCAUCUUAGGGACUCACCCAGAAAAUUCUCCAACCUGCUCCACGACUACAAAACUCUUCUAAUGCUUUUGAACGCCCACCAUUUGUUCUCCAUUCAUCCAAUCAACUUUCCACUGCACAUCUUCUCUCUCUACCGGCGCCCAGGCAAGGGGCCACUUCUCAUCUGUAUGCUAAUUAUUUUGCCACAUGGACAAAAGUAAUAAUGCUUUCAGACAGGAAACUAACAGGCCUGAAGUCGAAGAUGGAAAUUAAUAAGUUGACACCACUAAACGACAGGGAAGACGGGCAUGCGUACAGCGCUCUGCCGGGCGGGUGAAGUGCAGCCUCCAUCAAAAGGCAGCAGACAGACAGCGCCGGGCUGCGAGUCCCGCCUGUGCUGCGUGCAUCAGGCUCACGCUCCCUUAGAGACCACAUCGCUGCAGCAGAAGAGCCUCGGAAGCAUCCUGCUGACUUACCCUGUCUCAGGCUGCCUCCUUGAAGCAACACAAAACAUAUCCACUUCCCCAAAUCCUAAGGUGGGAGGGAACUUCACUGCUGAUCUAGAUAUUUUUCAAGCUACAGCUGUGGAUUAAACCAGUAAUUUCUAACCUUCCUGUGUAUCAAGCUUGCAACACAGUCAGACACGAGUGGAGAUGUGUGCAGUAUGCUGCUUGCCUUGUACCCACAGGCCCCUAAAUCUCUAGAGCAGAAUGUGUAUCAUGAGCAGUGCUGUAUUUAAUGUAAUAGAUGAGAACUGUAAAUACCGGAGUCAGGCUGUUAGCAGCUACCAGCUAGGCAAUAUAUCUAAAAAUAUCUCUCGUAUCAUUGAUGUUAUGGUAAAUUCAUGCUGUGGCCAAAGAAACCUCACAGAAGUAAGCUGAACCUACAGUAUUUUAGAUGGCAUUGCUGGUUAACAUCCAAGCAAAACAAAAAGAGGUUCCAAAACCUGUCACUUCUUAAAAUAAAAGAAUGGUGACACAAGAGUUAACUCUAACCAAUUCUUAAAAUCGUUUUCGGGUUGCCAACCUCACUAUAUUAUUCUGUUUCAGUAUGAGCUUCUUGCAUCGUUUUCUUUUAAAACAAAAGCUAUGAAACUACUUGUCUAAGAAAGUUAAAACAUUUUUCACCUUUUAUUAUUGUUUGAAGAAAAAAAUAUAGAAAAAGUUUUCUUUGAAAAGACAAGUCCUAAUAUGGUUUUUAAAAUAGCUAAGGGAACAUAGAUACCUGAUGUUCAUUAGCAUUUUUUUCUGGCUUAAAAAAGUGCUGAUUUUAUAAAUGGCUUCUUGAGUCAAGCCACAGAUGUUUUACUCUGGUGGUGACCAUACCGUUUCACUCUCUGCAAACCUCUCUCCUAUAACACUCACCGCUAUGAAAGGCUACGUUAAAUCAUAAAGGCUACUUUAGCACCUCCCACCCUCGCCCCAGGAAACUAGCCUUGAAUACACAGACUCAUGUUUAACAACAACUCCGGGCAGCAUGCAGACAUAGCAGUGCCCACAAUGGCAUUACACUGAAGGAGAAGCUCUUUUGAGAGAGGGUCCAUUGUUGGCGCGUUCACACGCCUAACCAAGAGACUUUAGGAAGUGUUGUGUAUGCAAUCAAAUGAGAGCUGGAGAUAGGCAGGCAGGUGGAGAAACAACUAUUUUUGAAGUACUUAAGAGAAGAACUGGGAGCUGCAACCACCAGGCAAAUUAAGAAAAAAAGAAAUCCUAUGUAACCUUUACAAUAAAAGGAAAGAGGUACCUUUUUGUGGAAGAGCUGGUGGCCAUCAAGCCAAAUCCUGUUCCGCAGUCUGCUUCUCACCCACGCAGGGCUCUGUCUGCCGUGGAGAGACCAUCGCACGUGCUGGUCACAGUUCCCUCUGUGUUUCCAUUCCAUUCACCCCUACCCUCUGGCGCCCGCACUCCACCAGCCCACUAUCCACAGUGAGUGAGAGUCGAGAGCAGAACAGCACGAGGGAGCAGCCACUGCAGGCUUUCCACAGAGCACAGCUCUGACUGUGGUUUCCGUGGGGAGACUGACAGAGAAGCCCCAAGUUACCAGGAACACCCUCUUCCAGCUCUCAGAGGUAAUUCCUCUGAAGACCGAGCUCUUCCCUGAUGUGUUGGGACCAGACUUACUGGUUACUAUAGAGGCUGCAAUUCCCUUCCCAUCGAGCCCUGCUAGACACCACUGCAGUCUGAAAGCAAGGAAAGCUUUAAGAGAAUGUCCUGUACCAUUCCAUCUUCUCACAACACAAUACUCCUUACAGUAAGACUAAAAUAUUCCCCCCCGCCAACUUUUCCAAUAAUCACCACGUGGGGAGCAGAGAUUAUUUUAAAAGAGGUACAUGGUAGGAAAAUUUUCCUAGCAGAACAGCCUAAUACAGCAAUGCUUAUCACUCUUUCUCUAUCUAAUAAAUAAGCAUUCAUGCAUUCUUUCUAGUUUUAUAACACCUGGCUUACAUUUUCUCUGCCAUCUCUGAUUACUUCUACAGAUACCCUGAGGACUCAUUAUGAUGUCAAAGCCAAAAACACUUCCAUUGUAGAAACAUGCAUAGAAAAAUCACUGUGUAUGCUUGAACAAUGCAGGUGUGAAAGAAACACAGAGAGAAGAGAGGGUGGCAAAACAGACAAACAGGGACCAAGUUAAAGAGAGAGGGGGCAGAAGAGAGAGAAAGGAAAGUGGAGAGAAAGAGAGAGAAGAGACAAGACACAAAGAUAUUACAAACAGAACCACAUUGCAUUGAAAUAGCCCACUGAUGGAAAAAAUGGAUAGCUGUUGCCUUUAAAUAAUCUAAUAUCAGAAAAAAUCAUGCAAUAAAAUACUAUAAAAGUAGA